UGCGUAGGUGGCAAGCGUUGUCCGGAUUUACUGGGCGUAAAGAGCGCGCAGGCGGUCGUUCAAGUCGCGUGUGAAAGCCCCCGGCUCAACUGGGGAGGGUCACGCGAUACUGAUCGACUCGAAGGCAGGAGAGGGUAGUGGAAUUCCCGGUGUAGUGGUGAAAUGCGUAGAUAUCUGGAGGAACACCGGUGGCGAAGGCGGCAUCCUGGACCAAUUCUGACGCUGAGGAGCGAAAGCCAGGGGAGCAAACGGG
Molecule: ribosomal RNA, 253 nt
Filed under: uncultured bacterium
Lineage: Bacteria
Description: partial 16S ribosomal RNA
Rfam family: Bacterial small subunit ribosomal RNA
Source: RNAcentral